CAUGGGUCAAGGAAUCACAAAGGUAGUUGUAUUUAGGAGCUUACUUGCAUCAGGCACAUUGGCAACUAUUUGUUCUCCACCCAAGGGAAAACACGGUCGUUUGGUUUUGUUCUCUGAGGAAGAAGCCUGAUAUUAACAUCAAAGGCGCAAUUAACAGUGCAAUGAAGACAAUAACCAGUUCUUUUGAAGGCAUGUCUAAUCAAGGUGCACCUCGGUGGGUUGAACCCAAGACUAAUGUGCAAAGUGGAGGGUUUGAGUGCGGAUAUUAUGUCAUGCACUGGAUGUGGUGCAUCGUGACUGCCGGUUUGAAGGAUGACUGGCACAAGUGGUUUUCUGAUGGCUCAUCGUUAGAUGUGGAGGCCAUCACAACAGUUCGACAGAAAUGGGCAACUUACUUUUUAUCUUUUAGGAAAAGCAGUUGCUAAAUUUGAUUUGUAUUAUGUAAAAGUGCAUUUUUCCUGUGGUUUCAUCAAAGAAUUAGAACAAUUAUGGCUACAACUUUGUAUGUUGGAUACAUUAGAGGAUCAUUACUUCAAAAAAGGGUAUUCAAUUUGCAUGGACUUAUAUAUGUAGGAUGCAUGUCAUUUGAUGCUAUUGUUCAGAUUUCAUUUGAUGUUAUUAUUUAA
This is a long non-coding RNA of Glycine soja, 626 nucleotides long. RefSeq lists it as uncharacterized. Lineage: Eukaryota; Viridiplantae; Streptophyta; Magnoliopsida; Fabales; Fabaceae. The record is from RefSeq and is a predicted model, not a curated record. The transcript is spliced from 5 exons.